GACGAACGCUGGCGGCGUGCCUAAUACAUGCAAGUAGAACGCUGAAGAGAGGAGCUUGCUCUUCUUGGAUGAGUUGCGAACGGGUGAGUAACGCGUAGGUAACCUGCCUUGUAGCGGGGGAUAACUAUUGGAAACGAUAGCUAAUACCGCAUAACAAUGGAUGACACAUGUCAUUUAUUUGAAAGGGGCAAUUGCUCCACUACAAGAUGGACCUGCGUUGUAUUAGCUAGUAGGUGAGGUAACGGCUCACCUAGGCGACGAUACAUAGCCGACCUGAGAGGGUGAUCGGCCACACUGGGACUGAGACACGGCCCAGACUCCUACGGGAGGCAGCAGUAGGGAAUCUUCGGCAAUGGGGGCAACCCUGACCGAGCAACGCCGCGUGAGUGAAGAAGGUUUUCGGAUCGUAAAGCUCUGUUGUAAGUCAAGAACGAGUGUGAGAGUGGAAAGUUCACACUGUGACGGUAGCUACCA
RNAcentral lists this ribosomal RNA (474 nucleotides) under Streptococcus sp. oral taxon C65. Its description in RNAcentral is "bacterial SSU rRNA". It matches the Rfam family "Bacterial small subunit ribosomal RNA", at positions 28 to 485 of the family's 1533-position model. The record is from RNAcentral. Lineage: Bacteria; Bacillati; Bacillota; Bacilli; Lactobacillales; Streptococcaceae.